AGUGAACGCUGGCGGUAGGCCUAACACAUGCAAGUCGAACGGCAGCACAGUAAGAGCUUGCUCUUACGGGUGGCGAGUGGCGGACGGGUGAGGAAUACAUCGGAAUCUACUUUUUCGUGGGGGAUAACGUAGGGAAACUUACGCUAAUACCGCAUACGACCUACGGGUGAAAGCAGGGGAUCUUCGGACCUUGCGCGAUUGAAUGAGCCGAUGUCGGAUUAGCUAGUUGGCGGGGUAAAGGCCCACCAAGGCGACGAUCCGUAGCUGGUCUGAGAGGAUGAUCAGCCACACUGAGACUGAGACACGGUCCAGACUCCUACGGGAGGCAGCAGUGGGGAAUAUUGGACAAUGGGCGCAAGCCUGAUCCAGCCAUACCGCGUGGGUGAAGAAGGCCUUCGGGUUGUAAAGCCCUUUUGUUGGGAAAGAAAAGCAGCAGGUUAAUACCCCGCUGUUCUGACGGUACCCAAAGAAUAAGCACCGGCUAACUUCGUG
This 492-nucleotide ribosomal RNA is filed under the name uncultured bacterium. RNAcentral's name for it is "partial 16S ribosomal RNA". It matches the Rfam family "Bacterial small subunit ribosomal RNA", at positions 29 to 507 of the family's 1533-position model. The record is from RNAcentral.